GACGAACGCUGGCGGCGUGCUUAACACAUGCAAGUCGAGCGGUAAGGCCCUUUCGGGGGUACACGAGCGGCGAACGGGUGAGUAACACGUGGGUGACCUGCCCUUAGCUCGGGGAUAAGCCUGGGAAACUGGGUCUAAUACCGGAUAUGACUCCAUGACGCAUGUUGUGGGGUGGAAAGCCUUGUGCGGCUAGGGAUGGGCCUGCGGCCUAUCAGCUUGUUGGUGGGGUGAUGGCCUACCAAGGCGACGACGGGUAGCCGGCCUGAGAGGGCGACCGGCCACACUGGGACUGAGACACGGCCCAGACUCCUACGGGAGGCAGCAGUGGGGAAUCUUGCGCAAUGGGCGAAAGCCUGACGCAGCGACGCCGCGUGGGGAUGACGGCCUC
This 388-nucleotide ribosomal RNA is filed under the name uncultured bacterium. RNAcentral's name for it is "bacterial SSU rRNA". It matches the Rfam family "Bacterial small subunit ribosomal RNA", at positions 28 to 418 of the family's 1533-position model. The record is from RNAcentral.